UACGAAGGGGGCAAGCGUUGUUCGGAAUGACUGGGCGUAAAGGGCGCGUAGGCGGUCGGCCGCGUCAGAUGUGAAAGCCCCGGGCUCAACCUGGGAACCGCAUUUGAAACGGGCCGACUCGAGUUCGGGAGAGGAUGGUGGAAUUCCCAGUGUAGAGGUGAAAUUCGUAGAGAUUGGGAAGAACACCGACGGCGAAGGCAGCCAUCUGGACCGACACUGACGCUGAGGCGCGACAGCGUGGGGAGCAAACAGGAUUAGAAACCCCCGUAGUCC
Molecule: ribosomal RNA, 273 nt
Filed under: uncultured bacterium
Lineage: Bacteria
Description: partial 16S ribosomal RNA
Rfam family: Bacterial small subunit ribosomal RNA
Source: RNAcentral